This 341-nucleotide long non-coding RNA is filed under the name Homo sapiens (human). RNAcentral describes it as "non-protein coding lnc-BRF1-62:1". Lineage: Eukaryota; Metazoa; Chordata; Mammalia; Primates; Hominidae. The record is from RNAcentral.
AUGAAGUCUGGGCUGAGCCGGUUUUUCCUUGUUGCUAUUUUAGUGUCCAGUGUGAGGUGCAGCUGGUGGAGUCUGGGGGAGGCUUGGUACAGCCUGGGGGGUCCCUGAGACUCUCCUGUGCAGCCUCUGGAUUCACCUUCUGUUAACUACUGCAUGCAGUGGAUCUGCCGGGCUCCAGGAAAGGGGCUGGAGUGGGUAGGUUUCACUAAAAACAAAACUAAUCGUGGAACAACAGAAUACGCCGCGUCUGUGAAAGGCAGAUUCACCAUCUCAAGCGAUGAUUCCAAAAGCAUCGCCUAUCUGCAAAUGAACAGCCUGAAAACCGAGGACACGGCCGUGUA